GAUGAAGAACGCAGCGAAUCGCGAUACGUAAUGUGAAUUGCAGAAUUCAGUGAAUCAUCGAAUCUUUGAACGCACAUUGCGCCCGCCAGUAUUCUGGCGGGCAUGCCUGUUCGAGCGUCAUUACAACCCUCAGGCCCCCGGGCCUGGCGUUGGGGAUCGGCGGAGCCCCCCGUGGGCACACGCCGUCCCCCAAAUACAGUGGCGGUCCCGCCGCAGCUUCCAUCGCGUAGUAGCUAACACCUCGCGACUGGAGAGCGGCGCGGCCACGCCGUAAAACACCCAACUCUUCUGAAGUUGACCUCGAAUCAGGUAGGAAUACCCGCUGAACUUAAGCAUAUCAAUAAGCGGAGGA
RNAcentral lists this unclassified non-coding RNA (352 nucleotides) under soil metagenome. RNAcentral's name for it is "partial contains 5.8S ribosomal RNA, internal transcribed spacer 2, and large subunit ribosomal RNA". The stretch from base 1 to 120 matches the Rfam family "5.8S ribosomal RNA", at positions 35 to 154 of the family's 154-position model. The record is from RNAcentral.